UAACACGUAGGAGGCAAGCGUUAUCCGAAUUUACUGGGCGUAAAGCGCGUGCAGGCGGUUCGGUAAGUUGGAUGUGAAAUCUCCUGGCUCAACUGGGAGAGGUCGUUCAAUACUGUCGGACUAGAGGAUGGUAGAGGGAGGUGGAAUUCCCGGUGUAGUGGUGAAAUGCGUAGAUAUCGGGAGGAACACCAGUGGCGAAAGCGGCCUCCUGGACCAUUCCUGACGCUCAGACGCGAAAGCUAGGGGAGCGAACGGGAUUAGACACCCCGGUAGUCCUAGCUGUAAACGAUGUGGACUUGGCGUCGGUGGGGUAAAAGCCAUCGGUGCCGGAGCUAACGCGGUAAGUCCACCGCCUGGGGACUACGGCCGCAAGGUUAAAACUCAAAGGAAUUGACGGGUCCCCGCAC
RNAcentral lists this ribosomal RNA (407 nucleotides) under uncultured Chloroflexota bacterium. RNAcentral describes it as "bacterial SSU rRNA". It matches the Rfam family "Bacterial small subunit ribosomal RNA", at positions 521 to 926 of the family's 1533-position model. The record is from RNAcentral. Lineage: Bacteria; Bacillati; Chloroflexota.